CCUACGGGGGGCAGCAGUGGGGAAUAUUGGACAAUGGGGGGAACCCUGAUCCAGCCAUGCCGCGUGUGUGAAGAAGGCCCUCGGGUUGUAAAGCACUUUCAGUGAGGAAGAACGCCUGGUGGUUAAUACCCAUCAGGAAAGACAUCACUCACAGAAGAAGCACCGGCUAACUCCGUGCCAGCAGCCGCGGUAAUACGGAGGGUGCGAGCGUUAAUCGGAAUUACUGGGCGUAAAGCGCGCGUAGGUGGCUUGAUAAGCCGGUUGUGAAAGCCCCGGGCUCAACCUGGGAACGGCAUCCGGAACUGUCAAGCUAGAGUGCAGGAGAGGAAGGUAGAAUUCCCGGUGUAGCGGUGAAAUGCGUAGAGAUCGGGAGGAAUACCAGUGGCGAAGGCGGCCUUCUGGACUGACACUGACACUGAGGUGCGAAAGCGUGGGUAGCAAACAGGAUUAGAUACCCUUGUAGU
This 464-nucleotide ribosomal RNA is filed under the name Vreelandella stevensii. RNAcentral's name for it is "partial 16S ribosomal RNA". It matches the Rfam family "Bacterial small subunit ribosomal RNA", at positions 338 to 794 of the family's 1533-position model. The record is from RNAcentral. Lineage: Bacteria; Pseudomonadati; Pseudomonadota; Gammaproteobacteria; Oceanospirillales; Halomonadaceae.